This 70-nucleotide transfer RNA is filed under the name Conger japonicus. RNAcentral's name for it is "tRNA-Pro". It matches the Rfam family "tRNA". Rfam says of the family: Transfer RNA (tRNA) molecules are approximately 80 nucleotides in length. Their secondary structure includes four short double-helical elements and three loops (D, anti-codon, and T loops). The record is from RNAcentral. Lineage: Eukaryota; Metazoa; Chordata; Actinopteri; Anguilliformes; Congridae.
CAUGGGAUGGUCUAGAUUAUGAUCUUAGCUUUGGGACCUAAGGAAGGAAGUUAAAAUCUUUCUCCUAUGA